This 1314-nucleotide small RNA is filed under the name Pan troglodytes (chimpanzee). RNAcentral's name for it is "retained intron". Lineage: Eukaryota; Metazoa; Chordata; Mammalia; Primates; Hominidae. The record is from RNAcentral.
UUGCGACAGGACAGCCUGGCUGGGGAGUCAAGGCUGCCAUCUCUCCUUGCUUUCAUUCUGGUUCCCCAUCGAUGUGGCGUGGGGAGAGGAGCAGGUGACUAUGAUGCUGGCUUGGCUGACACUGGAAUGGAUGCAGUGGCUGCAUAUUAAUGCUACGGCGUGCACAUGCAUAUGCCAGGGAAAAUUCAGUAGCAAGUUUUUACAACAUGAUUUCUGCUGCUUCUGUUGGACGGGCUCUCGGGCUUACCUACGUGUGCGAAGCAACACUCCCUACCGCAGCUUUCAUGCACGAUUUAACUCACCCCCGCCCUGCCUGCGUGGAGCCUCAUUUUUAUUUUGUAGGAGCUCGAAUCAUUAUUUGGAUAUUAAUAAAAACAAAUCUUGGCUGAUGCUAACCAUCUGAUUUCCUUUUUUUUUUUUUUCCAUUUUGUUUUGUUUUGUUUCUGCACACAUUUUCUUUAGCUUGAAAUGGCGAUUGAAAACCUCCAAAAAAGCGAAGGAAUCACAUCACACAAAAGCGGUUUACUCAACAGCCAUCUCCAGUGGCUGUUGGAUAAUUAUGAAACAGCGGAAGGUGUGAGUCUCCCCAGAAGUUCUCUUUACAACCACUACCUUCGGCACUGCCAGGAGCACAAGCUAGACCCAGUGAACGCUGCCUCCUUCGGGAAACUGAUCCGUUCUGUGUUUAUGGGGCUGAGAACGCGGCGGCUGGGCACCAGGGGCAACUCGAAGUACCAUUACUAUGGGAUUCGUCUGAAGCCAGACUCACCACUGAACCGGCUGCAGGAGGACACGCAGUACAUGGCCAUGCGGCAGCAGCCCAUGCACCAGAAGCCCAGGUACCGGCCAGCCCAGAAGACGGACAGCCUCGGGGACAGCGGCUCCCACAGCGGCCUGCACAGCACUCCAGAACAGACCAUGGCCGUGCAGAGCCAGCACCACCAGCAGUACAUAGAUGUCUCUCACGUCUUCCCCGAGUUCCCAGCGCCCGACCUGGGCAGCGUCCUGCUGCAGGACGGCGUCACACUGCACGACGUCAAGGCCCUGCAGCUGGUGUACAGACGGCACUGCGAGGUGACCGCCCCAGCCCAGGCAGGCAGCUCCUACGUGUCCCUCCCGGGAACCGCCAGCGCUCAGGCCAGGCGUCCCCGGGUGACGCUGAGGAGCUGGAGCCCCGAGCCCCCCCACAAGCAUCCUCUCUGAAGCAGCAGCCCCUCCGCAUCCAUGUCCAUCGCCUGCUCCUCUCCUCUCUGUGGCCUCCCUUGGGAUUCCAGGGCACCCCGCUGCAGCCCGGAUCACGGCUGCUCACUUGAC